This is a long non-coding RNA of Cervus elaphus (red deer), 130 nucleotides long. RefSeq lists it as uncharacterized. Lineage: Eukaryota; Metazoa; Chordata; Mammalia; Artiodactyla; Cervidae. The transcript is spliced from 3 exons. The record is from RefSeq and is a predicted model, not a curated record.
GUUGUCUAGUGGUUAGAAUUCCAGGUUUUCACUGCCAUAGCCUGGGUUCAAUCCCUGGUUAGGGGACUGAUAUCCUGCAAGCUAUGUGGUGUGCCAAAAAAAAAAAAAAAAGGAGAAGAAACUUUUUUAA